This 253-nucleotide ribosomal RNA is filed under the name uncultured bacterium. RNAcentral's name for it is "partial 16S ribosomal RNA". It matches the Rfam family "Bacterial small subunit ribosomal RNA", at positions 524 to 776 of the family's 1533-position model. The record is from RNAcentral.
UACGGAGGGGGCUAGCGUUGUUCGGAAUUACUGGGCGUAAAGCGUACGUAGGCGGCUUUGUAAGUUAGAGGUGAAAGCCCGGGGCUCAACCCCGGAAUUGCCUUUAAGACUGCAUCGCUUGAACGUCGGAGAGGUGAGUGGAAUUCCGAGUGUAGAGGUGAAAUUCGUAGAUAUUCGGAAGAACACCAGUGGCGAAGGCGGCUCACUGGACCGUUGUUGACGCUGAGGUGCGAAAGCGCGGGGAGCAAACAGG